Molecule: non-coding RNA, 4172 nt
Organism: Phascolarctos cinereus (koala)
Lineage: Eukaryota; Metazoa; Chordata; Mammalia; Diprotodontia; Phascolarctidae
Source: RefSeq, a predicted model, not a curated record
CCUCAACCACUAGCUUGUGUCAGCGCCCUAGAGGGGAAGUCUGUCUUCGAUCAGUGUUUGUUGAAUGAUUGGUUACUGGAGGAAUAUUUACUAAGCCAUAAAUGAACUGAAAAGAUGAAUGAAUCCCUCUUGUGCUCAGGGUUGUGCUCAGUGAGGUGAAGGAUACAAAAGGAUAAGACACAGCGCCUGCCGAAGGUCUAGUGGAAGAUGAAGCUAAACAAUAUACAGCAGCAAAAUGCAGACCCCUGGCACUCACAAGGGAUUAACAAUACAGCACAACUCAUGGGGCCUGUUGAAUCAUAUAAAACAAACCCUCCACAUUCGCAGGUGAAAUCAAACAAUCUGAAAUGACAGAGCAAACUCUCAACCCUCAGGAGGACGGCGAUGUCAGUCUGUGGCCCUGCGAGUGUGUGUGGCUGCUGUGGUGCCCUUCGCCCCCGAUACAAGAGACUGGUUGACAACAUCUUCCCUGAGGACCCAGAGGAUGGCCUCGUGAAAACCAACAUGGAGAAGCUGACCUUCUAUGCCCUCUCAGCUCCAGAGAAGCUAGACCGGAUUGGUGCCUACCUCUCUGAAAGGCUCAUCCGUGAUGUGGGCCGCCAUAGAUAUGGCUAUGUGUGCAUCGCAAUGGAGGCUCUGGACCAGCUGCUUAUGGCCUGCCAUUGUCAGAGCAUCAACCUCUUUGUAGAAAGCUUCCUGAAGAUGGUGGCCAAGCUGUUGGAGUCUGAGAAGCCCAAUCUGCAGAUCCUAGGCACAAAUUCGUUUGUGAAGUUUGCCAACAUAGAAGAGGACACUCCUUCCUAUCAUCGGAGCUAUGAUUUCUUCGUGUCACGAUUCAGUGAAAUGUGUCACUCCAGCCAUGAUGACUUGGAAAUCAAGACCAAGAUCCGUAUGUCAGGCAUCAAAGGCCUGCAAGGGGUGGUGAGGAAGACAGUGAAUGAUGAGUUGCAGGCCAACAUCUGGGACCCACAGCACAUGGACAAGAUUGUCCCUUCGCUGCUAUUCAACCUGCAGCAUGUAGAGGAAGCUGAGAGCAGGUCUCCCUCACCCUUACAGGCCACAGAGAAAGAAAAGGAGAGCCCGGCAGAACUGGCUGAGAGGUGCCUCCGAGAGCUGCUGGGCAGGGCUGCCUAUGGCAACAUCAAAAAUGCCAUCAAGCCUGUACUCAUUCACCUAGAUAACCAUUCUCUCUGGGAACCCAAGGUGUUUGCCAUCCGUUGCUUUAAAAUCAUCAUGUAUUCGGUUCAGCCCCAGCACUCCCACCUCGUGAUCCAGCAGCUCCUGAGUCACUUGGACGCCAACAGCCGCAGCGCAGCCACCGUCCGGGCGGGCAUCGUGGAGGUCCUGUCUGAAGCGGCUGUCAUUGCUGCUACUGGUUCUGUGGGUCCCACAGUGCUAGAGAUGUUCAAUACUUUGCUAAGGCAGCUACGGCUUAGCAUCGACUAUGCCCUGACUGGCAGCUAUGAUGGAGCCAUCAAUGCUGGCACCAAGAUCAUCAAGGAGCAUGAGGAGAGAAUGUUUCAGGAGGCUGUUAUCAAGACCACUGGAUCCUUUGCCAGCACACUGCCCACCUAUCAACGCUCUGAAGUAAUGCUUUUCAUCAUGAGCAAGGUCCCAUUGCCCUCUCUCCAUCACCCUGUGGAGAGUGGAAAGACUGGGGAGAACAGGAACCGGCUGACCCAGAUCAUGCUGCUGAAAUCCCUUCUUCAGGUAUCCACCGGCUUCCAGUGCAGCAACAUGCUGACUGCCCUGCCUAGCUCCUUCCUGGACCGGCUUCUUUCUGCCUCUCUCAUGGAGGAUGCUGAGAUCCGUCUCUUUGUCCUGGAGAUCCUCAUCAGCUUCAUUGAUCGUCAUGGCAACCGCCACAAAUUCUCCACUAUCAGCACCCUCAGUGACAUCUCUGUCCUAAAACUGAAGGUGGACAAGUGCUCACGGCAAGACACUGUGUUCAUGAAGAAGCACUCUCAGCAGCUCUACAGACACAUCUACAUGAGCUGCAAGGAGGAGACUAAUGUUCAGAAACACUACGAAGCUCUCUAUAGCAUGCUGGCACUCAUCAGCAUCGAGCUGGCCAACGAAGAAGUGGUGGUGGACCUCAUUCGCCUCGUGCUGGCUGUCCAGGAAAUGGCCCAUAUCAAUGAAGAAAAUCUGCCUGCAUACAACCGCUGUGCCCUCUAUGCUCUGGGAGCUGCCUACUUGAACCUCAUCAGUCAGCUUACUGCUGUGCCUGCUUUCUGCCAGCACAUCCAUGAGGUAAUAGAGACCAGGCAGAAGGAAGCGCCAUACUUGCUCCCAGAAGACGUCUUUGUGGAGAGACCCAGGUUGUCCCAGAGCCUAGACCAAGUGGUGAUUGAGCUCCUCUUCCGUCAGAGUAAGAUCAGUGAAGUCCUGGGGGGCAGUGGCUACAAUUCUGAUAGGCUCUGCACACCUUACAUCCCUCAGCUGACAGAUGAAGAUCGCUUGUCCAAGAGGAAGAGCAUUGGUGAAACCAUUUCCCUUCAGGUGGAGGUAGAAUCAAGGAAUAGCCCAGAGAAGGAAGAGAGAGUGCCUGCUGAGGAGAUUACCUAUGAGACCCUAAAGAAGGCCAUUGUGGAUAGCGUGGCAGUGGAGGAACAAGAGCGUGAGCGGCGACGGCAGGUGGUUGAGAAGUUCCAGAAGGCACCUUUUGAGGAGAUUGCUGCCCAUUGUGGGGCCCGGGCAUCACUGCUGCAGAGCAAACUCAACCAGAUCUUUGAAAUCACCAUCCGACCUCCCCCAAGCCCAUCUGGUACCAUCACAGCAGCCUACGGCCAGCCACAGAACCAUUCGAUCCCCGUCUAUGAGAUGAAGUUCCCUGAUCUGUGUGUAUACUGAGUGCCAAGAGUCAGAGGUCCUAUGGAGGCUGGGUUUGGGGAAGGUGAUCCCCACCCCCAUCCCCUACAGCAUGGAAUCCUAAUGAGAUCUCAGGGGAGAAAUAUAACUUCCAAAGGUGGGCACCUUCCUAAGAAAGCAAGUUCCUUCAACCCUUCUCUUCCUUCUGCUCUAGCAUCCCAGCUUCACCACACUCUCUUUGAGGCCCUUUGUGCCAGUGGGAGUCCACCCCGCCCACUCUGCCUUGCCUUCUGUGUCAUCUGGGGUCCUUUAUGAGGAGAGAUUUGAAGGUUCUCUCCAAAUAAGGGUCAGAGAGCCUUGGGAAUCCUUUGGCUGAUGAGUUGGAGGAGUUUUUUUUCUUGGGAUGGAGCCUCUGAACCAUCCGUGGACAGGCUGUUGGGGCCCUGCCAAGGAUCUCAGUGGCUUUUGAGCCCAAUUUAACACCUCGGGUUGAACAGAAAAUGGAAAUAAGGAAGGGAGGCAUCCGACCUCUUGGGCAGCAUUGCCUAGAGAAAAGGGAAAGUGUUGGAGUCUCUCUCUAGGAAUUUUCCAGCUACAGAAUGGAAGUUUGAAUCCCCACCUAACAGAGCUGCUUCAGAAGGGGUGUCCACCAGUUGAGAUCUGCACUAUCGAGGAAAUACCCACCCUAACAGAAUCACAGAUCUUUGAUGCAUUGAUGCCCUGGACCAGCUAAAUCUCAGUUCUCUGUACUGCUUAUACACUAUGGAGAUAAAGACAUAGGACUUGGUCCUUGACCUCAAGGAGCUUGUAGUCUAGCUAGGUGAGGAAACAAGCCAAGACAUGAAGUGACUCUUGCCUAAGGUUAUAUGUAAUGGGAGUAAUAUCCUGACAUCUUCCCCUACACCAUGCAAGUAAGUGGAUGGAAGACAAUGCGUAAGAUGAAAAGGAAAGAGUGAGAAAGAGAGAGAUGGAGAGAGAGAGAGAAAAAGAAAAAUUAAAGAAAGAAGAGAAUGAAGGAAUGAAGAUAUGAAGGGAGGCAGGCAAACAGAUGGGAGUAUCUCUGUCAUAUUCCACUCUUUCAGUGGAUCCUGGGUGCUCUUCUUCAAGAACAUAUUAUGCAGACAAAGAGACAUUGUCUACAAAGCAAUUUAAGCUUGGAAGGAAAAGUCUCGAGAAAUGUAAACUGGUGUGGUUAUUCUCUCUGUCUCUAAAAGAUGAUGAAGUUCCUAUUUCUAAAGAAAUGGCUGUUCCUCACAACUUCUCAGUUCAAAACAUUUGCCUCAGAAAUCUAAGGUGUUUAAAAAUUUUAAAGACCAAGGACUGAUAUUGCCAAGUUUGACACACCAAAACUGACUCAUCUG